Molecule: long non-coding RNA, 609 nt
Organism: Pecten maximus
Lineage: Eukaryota; Metazoa; Mollusca; Bivalvia; Pectinida; Pectinidae
Exons: 2
Source: RefSeq, a predicted model, not a curated record
UUUAAACAUAGUUUUAUUGUUAAAUAUAACAACAGGAAUAGGACACAAGUUAUCGCAACUUAAAACGCCUUCUUCCAAUAAUCAUUAUGUACAUAAUAUGAAUUUACAAUAUAAUACAGUAUAUAAAAUUUGUAUAUGAUGUAAGAAAAGACAGAGAUGAGGGACAGAAUGAAAAAGAGAGAGAGAGAGAGAGAGAGAGAGAGAGAGAGAGAGAGAGAGAGAGAGAGAGAGAGAGAGAGAGAGAGAGAGAGAGAGAGAGAGAUGACCUAAAAUCGAUUACUGGAUUUAAUAAAAUUUUGAACAUAUUGAAAAAUAUAGCCAUUUUGUUCAUCAGAUAGUUUAGGAGAACCCCAGAGAAUAACAUUAAGAGUCACAUUACAAUAGCGGGAGAGAUUAUCAAAUAAAGUUUCACGCUCUCUUCUGUACAAUAUACAAUCAAAAAAAUAAUGAUACACGUUUUCACACUCAUUACCACAUGCACAGGUUGUAUCAUUAAUUAUAUUUACUCUAUACAAAUCAUAGUUUAAGCUACUACAAACAUGUCUUAACCUUGUGUGUAAAACAUUUAAUUUUCUAUUUCCAGUUAGAUAAUAAAUAGGUAAUAUAUCA